Molecule: ribosomal RNA, 429 nt
Filed under: Bacillota bacterium
Lineage: Bacteria; Bacillati; Bacillota
Description: Firmicutes bacterium partial 16S ribosomal RNA
Rfam family: Bacterial small subunit ribosomal RNA
Source: RNAcentral
UAGGGAAUCUUCGGCAAUGGACGGAAGUCUGACCGAGCAACGCCGCGUGAGUGAAGAAGGUUUUCGGAUCGUAAAGCUCUGUUGUUAGAGAAGAACGUUGGUAGGAGUGGAAAAUCUACCAAGUGACGGUAACUAACCAGAAAGGGACGGCUAACUACGUGCCAGCAGCCGCGGUAAUACGUAGGUCCCGAGCGUUGUCCGGAUUUAUUGGGCGUAAAGCGAGCGCAGGCGGUUCUUUAAGUCUGAAGUUAAAGGCAGUGGCUUAACCAAUGUACGCUUUGGAGACUGGAGGACUUGAGUGCAGAAGGGGAGAGAGGAAUUCCAUGUGUAGCGGUGAAAUGCGUAGAUAUAUGGAGGAACACCGGUGGCGAAAGCGGCUCUCUGGUCUGUAACUGACGCUGAGGCUCGAAAGCGUGGGGAGCAAACAGG